AGAGAGAGACAUGCGCGCAUAUCAAUAAGCGGAGGAAAAGAAACUAACAAGGAUUCCCUUAGUAACGGCGAGUGAAGCGGGAAGAGCUCAAAUUUGAAAUCUUCAAGGUUUUACCUUGACGAAUUGUAGUUUAAAGAAGUGUUUUCUGUUGAAGUUUUGGUAAAAGUUCUUUGGAAUAGGACAUCAUAGAGGGUGAGAAUCCCGUAUUUGACCAUUAUUUUCCAGCUUUGUGAUACACUUACAAAGAGUCGGAUUGUUUGGGAAUGCAGUCCAAAAUGGGUGGUAAAUUUCAUCUAAAGCUAAAUAUUGGCGAGAGACCGAUAGGGAACAAGUACCGUGAGGGAAAGAUGAAAAGAACUUUGAAAAGAGAGUUAAACAGUACGUGAAAUUGUCAAAAGGGAAGCGUUUGACACCAGUGUUGUUUUCUCGAAAAUCAAUUAAAAAUGGCUCGAUUUUGUAUUGCUUGAGACCUUAAAAGCUCACUGUACAUUUUUCGUGUCUUUUUUAAUGCACUUUUCGUUUAACAAGUCAACAUCAGUUUCUUUUGUUGUAAAGGGGUCAUUGGAAGGUGGCUUUCUUUUCGGAGAAAGUGUUUAUAGCCUUUGGCCUCUGCAAUCGAAGAGACUGAGGUCUGCAGCGUAGACUCUUCGGGGUUAGAUACAUUUGUGCUAAGUUAUAGCUUUUUAUAGACAACUUGUUGACUAUAAUUAGUCUUGUAGCUUACUCGCUUAUGCUAUUUUACCUACGCUUAGGAUGUUGAAGAUGUAGCACAUCAU
RNAcentral lists this ribosomal RNA (776 nucleotides) under uncultured Neocallimastigales. RNAcentral's name for it is "partial large subunit ribosomal RNA". It matches the Rfam family "Eukaryotic large subunit ribosomal RNA", at positions 23 to 620 of the family's 3401-position model. The record is from RNAcentral. Lineage: Eukaryota; Fungi; Neocallimastigomycota; Neocallimastigomycetes; Neocallimastigales.